CCCUUAGAUGUCCUGGGCCGCACGCGCGCUACACUGAACAGUUCAACAAGUCUUAACCUUGGCCGAUAGGUCUGGGUAAUCUUUGAACGCUGUUCGUGAUUGGGAUAGACCUUUGCAAUUAUGGGUCUUCAACGAGGAAUUCCUAGUAAACGCAAGUCAUCAGCUUGCAUUGAUUACGUCCCUGCCCUUUGUACACACCGCCCGUCGCACCUACCGAUUGAAUGGUCCGGUGAAAUCUCGGGACGGCGGCUCGGUCGCUUGCGUCCGACUGCUGAAACUUGAUUAAACCAUAUCAUUUAGAGGAAGGUGAAGUCGUAACA
Molecule: ribosomal RNA, 320 nt
Filed under: uncultured eukaryote
Lineage: Eukaryota
Description: partial 18S ribosomal RNA
Rfam family: Eukaryotic small subunit ribosomal RNA
Source: RNAcentral